This 375-nucleotide long non-coding RNA is filed under the name Setaria viridis. Its description in RNAcentral is "long non-coding RNA (SVIR_LNC008526)". Lineage: Eukaryota; Viridiplantae; Streptophyta; Magnoliopsida; Poales; Poaceae. The record is from RNAcentral.
ACACGUCUCAGAGCGAGCGACAUUGCACGAAACAAAAGAAUGUAUUUUUAACAAUGCCAUAGUAGUUUUCAAAACUAGAACGUUUGUUGCAUCCAAGUUUUAGAACAUCAGUUAAUUCUUUUGUUGCCAGAAGCACUGCCCCCUCCCCCUCCCUAUAUAUGCUUAUCCAGUAUUGCCAUCACUCGCUUAAACAAAAAGGAAAUGCCAUCACCUGGGUCCUAGGCCUAUACGCCAUAGAGAUAAGUUAAGAGAUAAAAAAAAAAUCUUGGACAUAGCAUAUUAACAAUAGCAAAUAGUACUCCUAUUAUCUUAUUUCUCUGUACAUCACAAAUUGUUAGUCUAGUCACUGAAUUUUUAAUGAUUUUUCAAAUCCCC